CGUGUAGGCGGCUCCUUAAGUCUGAUGUGAAAGCCCUGGGCUCAACCCGGGAAGUGCAUUGGAAACUGGGGAACUUGAAUACGGGAGAGGGUAGUGGAAUUCCUGGUGUAGGAGUGAAAUCCGUAGAUAUCAGGAGGAACACCGGUGGCGAAGGCGGCUGCCUGGACCGAUAUUGACGCUGAGACGCGAAAGCGUGGGGAGCAAACAGGAUUAGAUACCCUGGUAGUCCACGCCGUAAACGAUGAGUACUAGGUGUUGCGGGUAUUGACCCCUGCAGUGCCGCAGCUAACGCAUUAAGUACUCCGCCUGGGAAGUACGGUCGCAAGACUAAA
This 332-nucleotide ribosomal RNA is filed under the name uncultured bacterium. Its description in RNAcentral is "bacterial SSU rRNA". It matches the Rfam family "Bacterial small subunit ribosomal RNA", at positions 568 to 898 of the family's 1533-position model. The record is from RNAcentral.